UUGGAGGGCAGUCUGGUGCCAGCAGCCGCGGUAAUUCCAGCUCCAAUAGCGUAUAUUAAAGCUGUUGCAGUUAAAAAGCUCGUAGUUGAAUUUCGGGGUUCUACCGUUGGUCGGGCUUUGUCUGUACUGGUGUGUAGAAUUUCUACCUUCUCUCGGAACCAUCAUGCUAUUAAUUUAGCGUGGUGGGAAACCAGGACCUUUACCUUGAAAAAAUUAGUGUGUUCAGAGCAGGCUUAUGUCUGAAUACAUUAGCGUGGAAUAAUAGAAUAGGACGGUGGUCCUGUUUUGUUGGUUUCUGAAUCACCGUAAUGAUUAAUAGGGAUAGUUGGGGGCAUUAGUAUUCAAUUGUCAGAGGUGAAAUUCUUGGAUUUAUUGAAGACUAACUUCUGCGAAAGCAUUUGCCAAGGAUGUUUUCAUUAAUCAAGAACGAAAGUUAGGGGAUCGAAGACGAUCAGAUACCGUCGUAGUCUUAACCAUAAACUAUGCCGACUAGGGAUCGGACGAUGUUAAUUUUUCUUGACUCGUUCGGCGCCUUACGGGAAAC
This 544-nucleotide ribosomal RNA is filed under the name uncultured Glomeromycotina. RNAcentral's name for it is "SSU rRNA". It matches the Rfam family "Eukaryotic small subunit ribosomal RNA", at positions 548 to 1098 of the family's 1831-position model. The record is from RNAcentral. Lineage: Eukaryota; Fungi; Glomeromycota.